AUUGAACGCUGGCGGCAGGCUUAACACAUGCAAGUCGAGCGGAGAUGAGGCGCUUGCACCUUAUCUUAGCGGCGGACGGGUGAGUAAUGCUUAGGAAUCUGCCUAUUAGUGGGGGACAACAUUCCGAAAGGAAUGCUAAUACCGCAUACGUCCUACGGGAGAAAGCAGGGGAUCUUCGGACCUUGCGCUAAUAGAUGAGGCUAAGUCGGAUUAGCUAGUUGGGGGGGUAAAGGCCUACCAAGGCGACGAUCUGUAGAGGGUCUGAGAGGAUGAUCCGCCACACUGGGACUGAGACACGGCCCAGACUCCUACGGGAGGCAGCAGUGGGGAAUAUUGGACAAUGGGGGAAACCCUGAUCCAGCCAUGCCGCGUGUGUGAAGAAGGCCUUAUGGUUGUAAAGCACUUUAAGCGAGGAGGAGGCUACUGAGACUAAUACUCUUGGAUAGUGGACGUUACUCGCAGAAUAAGCACCGGCUAACUCUGUGCCAGCCGCUGCCGUAA
Molecule: ribosomal RNA, 501 nt
Filed under: uncultured bacterium
Lineage: Bacteria
Description: partial 16S ribosomal RNA
Rfam family: Bacterial small subunit ribosomal RNA
Source: RNAcentral